GCUGAACGCUGGCGGCGUGCCUAAUACAUGCAAGUCGAGCGAAGCGGGGACGGGUGAGUAACACGUGGAUAACCUCCUAUAAGACUGGGAUAACUUCGGGAAACCGGAGCUAAACCGGAAACUUAUAGAUGGAUCCUCGCUGCAUUAGCUAGUUGGUAAGGUAACGGCUUACCAAGGCAACGAUGCAUAGCCGAGCUGAGAGGGUGAUCGGCCACACUGGAACUGAGACACGGUCCAGAAUCCUACGGGAGGACGCAGUAGGGAAUAUUGCGCAAUGGACGAAAGCCUGACGGAGCAACGCCGCGUGAAUGAUGAAGGUCUUAGGAUCGUAAAGCACUGUUAUUAGGGAAGCGGUACCUAAACAAAAAGCCACGGCUAACUCCGUGCCAGCCGCCGCGGUAAUUC
Molecule: ribosomal RNA, 405 nt
Filed under: uncultured bacterium
Lineage: Bacteria
Description: partial 16S ribosomal RNA
Rfam family: Bacterial small subunit ribosomal RNA
Source: RNAcentral